UCAAGCAGAAGCUAUGGCUCGUGCUGACAUGCUGAGAUUCCAGCCUGAGGUUUUGUUCAAUCACAUUUCUUGUCAUUUGAACUUUCUAAAAAUAACAAGAUGGAAAAUAGUUCUCUGUCGCACUCUCUCACUCGUAGGAGUAAAUAAGUAAAUUUUGGUCAGAUGGAAAUCUAAGGUUCUAACUUUUGGAGCUUUACAAAAUAGAGCUGAUGGAUUAGAAUCAUUGGAACGUCUUUGUUCAUUUUAUCAGGGUCAGUUAGUUGCUUAAUUGUUAGGACGUGCAUUGGUCACAAAUCAAUUCGGUGGGUAGGGAGUUCUAUCAUAUUAAAUGUUCAAGAUAUGUUCAUCCAAUAACCUAAUUUUACCUUUGUUAAACAGAGUGGACUAAGUCUGAGCUCUGAUGGGAUCUUGGG
This 413-nucleotide unclassified non-coding RNA is filed under the name Hevea brasiliensis (rubber tree). Lineage: Eukaryota; Viridiplantae; Streptophyta; Magnoliopsida; Malpighiales; Euphorbiaceae. The record is from RNAcentral.